UUGGCUCGUUUAUUUGGAAGGAUAGGAGUUUUUUUUUUUUUUUUUGAUGUUUCAGUUCACACUCCAUUCCAGUUGGUGGCGGUAACGUGCCCCCUUUUUUUUUUUUUUGCCAAUUCAUAAUAAACCCCAAGAGAAGAAGAAGACUCAAGAUGACAGAGAGAGGGCAGAUGAAUUGAACUUGGACCAAAGGCUAGUAAACUGAGAACUACAUGGACUGAGAAGUGAACAAACAAUGAUUCGGCAUAUUUUUCGUGGUUAAAUAUGUCAAGGAAAAACAAACUCUUCACUAUAUGUUGAAACCCACAAGGUUUCUGGAUAAUUCAGCACGGGAGCCAUUCAUGAAGAGGAUCAGACUAGAUCUGAUUUUCAAGAGCCACCUUCACAUCCUGCUGAGACCUACAAGACUGCCACCGCAUCCACCAUGACGGUCAAGAACAAGGAAGCUCAGCCAUGGCUGGACAUGGAGCAUAAUCCAAGAUGGGCUGAUCAUCAGCUAAUCAAGUGUAUUCAACUUUCACCAUGUGGCUGCUACAGUCUGUCUUCAGUCCAGUCCAGCCAGGUUGUAGAUGGUCUUUCAGAAAGAUGACAGAUGAAAAAGUGAGGGAAUGAGAAAACAUUCUAGGCAGAGGGCAAUGGCUCCAAAACCCAGACGGACCUGGCGCAACCAAUCUCUGCUUCACAGGCGCAAG
This is a long non-coding RNA of Poecilia latipinna (sailfin molly), 689 nucleotides long. RefSeq lists it as uncharacterized. Lineage: Eukaryota; Metazoa; Chordata; Actinopteri; Cyprinodontiformes; Poeciliidae. The transcript is spliced from 4 exons. The record is from RefSeq and is a predicted model, not a curated record.